UUGAUGCUGGUGGAGGAACUGAUACAAAGUAACAAGAGAAACCACCACCAUCCACUUUGCAGGAAGUGAGGCUUUGAAUCCCAGCGACAUUCAUUCCGCAACAUACUAACCACAUCCUGGUGAUCCCAGCUUCAGAGAGGAGAACACGGGGACUUGAGUUCACUGUUGCGGUGAAGUCCUGCUCUGGCCCCAGGCAGAAGUCAAGAUCAAAGCUCACACUGCAAAUAUUGUGCUGAUUAAAACCAAACUUUCUGCUUUUGAUGUGGGCCAACCUCCAUUGCUGGUAGGAACAAAGGAGGAGUAUAGCAAAAAGAUACUAGCAAUGUUUUCUUAUCCUGGGUUACCACCUACAUUGUUUCUUGGGGAGAAGGAUGCCUGACUCCUACAGAGUAAUGAGACACAAGGAGGGUGCCUGAGCCAUUUCUACAGACUCCAAGAGGUUCUAACCAGCCCAGGUCACUUCCACUUUUGAGACCUGUGGAC
This 483-nucleotide long non-coding RNA is filed under the name Homo sapiens (human). RNAcentral's name for it is "non-protein coding lnc-MTBP-1:2". The record is from RNAcentral. Lineage: Eukaryota; Metazoa; Chordata; Mammalia; Primates; Hominidae.